AGAGUUUGAUCCUGGCUCAGGACGAACGCUAGCGGCGUGCCUAAGGUAUGCAAGUCGAACGGGGGGCGCAAGCCCCUAGUGGCGAACGGUCGCGUAACACGUAGACAACCUGCCCGGCAGUGGGGGAUAACAGCGGGAAACUGCUGCUAAUACCGCAUGCGGUCCCGGAAAGCAUUUUCCGGGCACUAAAGGAGCAAUUCGCCGAGAGAGGAGCCCGCGGCUGAUUAGCUAGUUGGUAGGGUAAAGGCCUACCAAGGCGAAGAUCGGUAGCCGGCCUGAGAGGGCACACGGCCACACUGGCACUGAAACACGGGCCAGACUCCUACGGGAGGCAGCAGUGGGGAAUCUUGCACAAUGGGGGAAACCCUGAUGCAGCGACGCCGCGUGAGCGAUGAAGCCCUUCGGGGUGUAAAGCUCUUUCGGCAGGAACGAUAAUGACGGUACCUGAAGAAGAAGCUGCGGCUAACUACGUGCCAGCAGCCGCGGUAAUACGUAGGCAGCGAGCGUUGUUCGGAGUUACUGGGCGUAAAGCGUGCGUAGGCGGUUUUGUAAGUCUGGUGUGAAAUCUCCCGGCUCAACUGGGAGGGUGCGCCGGAAACUGCAAGGCUGGAGUAUGGGAGAGGUAGGCGGAAUUCCUGGUGUAGCGGUGAAAUGCGUAGAUAUCAGGAGGAACACCUGUGGUGUAGACGGCUUACUGGACCAUGACUGACGCUGAGGCACGAAAGCGUGGGGAGCAAACAGGAUUAGAUACCCCCGUAGUCC
This 762-nucleotide ribosomal RNA is filed under the name uncultured Acidobacteriota bacterium. Its description in RNAcentral is "bacterial SSU rRNA". It matches the Rfam family "Bacterial small subunit ribosomal RNA", at positions 8 to 796 of the family's 1533-position model. Lineage: Bacteria; Pseudomonadati; Acidobacteriota. The record is from RNAcentral.